ACUGUGGACUAAUAUACAGGACACCGUGUUUUGCAGGCUCCCUCAGGGAUAACCUGUGCAGUCUGCAGGUCGACCUACAACGCGCACGAUCGUCGUCCGCUUAUCUUCUCCAGCUGCGGCCACACCUUCUGCGAGGAAUGCCUUAGGACGGAGAACCGCAAGAGUGUGUUCCGGUGCCCUUCUUGCCGGCAGGACCGCGACCAGUUCUGGACGCUGAAGCCUAACUUCGCGCUGCUCGACCUGCUCGAAGCGAGGAGAGUCCAGGAGACCAGGGACGACGAAGACGACGAAGACGACCUCAAGAAGGGUCUCCGCAUGGACGACGACGACCUGCUCUCCCUCGCCCUCCACAUGUCCGCACAGGAGGCCGAGAACAAGGAGUACAGGCGUCAGGUCGCCGCCUUACUCGCGCGAGAGCCCGCUGGGGCCGGCGACGUCCCCGGAGCGGAGGGCGGCUGGCAGGAGGAGGCAGAGGGGCGUCCGGGGAAGGAGGAAGCUUACUGCCAUGAGGAACUUGAAGGUCAUAGUAGGAAAAAGCUCCGCCUUGAGAAGGAGAAGGC
Molecule: non-coding RNA, 560 nt
Organism: Penaeus vannamei (Pacific white shrimp)
Lineage: Eukaryota; Metazoa; Arthropoda; Malacostraca; Decapoda; Penaeidae
Source: RefSeq, a predicted model, not a curated record